GGCAGAUUGAAAAGAUUCCGUAGCUUCCUGACCAUUUCCAAGUAUUAAAAAGUCCAGUUUAAUCUGAGUUAAAAUCGAACUUCACUUCCUCUUUACAUCUCCCCCCUUGCUCAGCUCAGGCUCGUCCAGAUGCACGGGUACCAGUGUAAGUGUAAGGGCACUUGGUGCUUGUUAGCUCCCCUCACUACAACUUUCGCCCCACUUUCUUAACUGCUGAUGUGUUUCCCAAGGUUGUGGAUCAGAGGACAGUGGCAGAUGUUGGCUGUGGUGCUCUUUGGCUAUUGAGAUCUUUCCAGUGGUAUGAUCCACAUGUUAGGGUUACCAUGCAGGAUCCUUGGAGACCCUGACUUGGCAGUGAACUUGGCUAACCUGCAGCCUUUCUGUCCCUGUCCCCUGCUGGUAUCCCUGUCUUUGUGAGCAUAUGUGUUAAGCUUGCUGCCUUCCAGGGCAUUCACUUGGUCCUCACGCCACACACAUUUCUGCUUGGCCGCUGUGGAAAGAUCGGACAAACCCCAGACUCAGUCUUCUCCCGGCAAAGCACUAGGGACUCAAUGUCAGGAAAACAUAAUGAAGAAUCCCCAAGAGCCAUGUUGGGGAAGAGGACUUGAGAACUGUGUUGGGGAGAAGGACCAAACCAUAGGAGAAAGGAGGAAAGGAUACUGUGCUCUAGAGAGAGAUACCUAAAACAGGUGGCAGCCAGCAGCAAAACCCAGAAAAGAAGUAGCUAUGUCUGAGUGUGGUUUGUCCCCUGCAACAUUCAUGUUGAGAUUUGGUUCCUACUUGGCAGAUUAUUAAGGUGUUGGAAGCUUUAAAAGGUGAUUAGGUCAUAGAGACACUACCCUCUUGAAGGGAUCGUAUUUAUCACAGAGUAGGUAGUUAUUGUGAGCGCAAUUUUCCGUAAAUUUAAAUAUGCACAUCUCCUCUCUUCCCUUCUCCAUGUACUCACAUCCCUUCUGAUUUUCCAUUAUUCGUGGAAUAGCAAGUGGCCUCCACCAAGAGCUGAAAAGAUGGUGGUGCCAUGCUUGUGGACCUUAGAACCAUGACCUAAACCAUCCUUUUUUACCUUAUAAACUACCCAGUCUUGGAUAUUUUGUUAUGGCAACAGAAAACAUUAAAAUAAAACUAGACUAAGACAGCAAUCUCUAAGAAUCCUUUUUAAUUGCAUUUUGUAAAACAUAACUCAAACCAGUUUAAGGAAAAAGAUUAAUUGACAUGCUCAAGUCACCAAACAAUUGAAAGUCCAGAGGUGACCCAACUUUAGGAAUUGGCAGAUCUAACACUAGAACUCUACUGAAUUUGUCUCCAACUCUCUAUUUCCUGCUUCUCCGUGAGUGCUUAUUUCUAGCUCUCAAACUGGUUGUCUCCACAUGAUAGGAGGCAUGACUAAAGCAACUAAUCUUGACAAUCACAUGGUCAGAGAGAAAAGAGAACUUUCUUUUGUCAGCUCCAGUGAGAAAAAUUGAAGGGAAGUAUUUUGAUUGGUUGGGCUGGUGCCAAUUCUAUAGCCAGGGAAAAGGGACCCUACUUAUGGCCACAUGGGUUACAUGUUCCUCCUGUGACCAGAAAGACAGGGUUUGUCACUAUAAGAAAAGAGAGAAUCACAUAAACAAGGCUACUGGGGGGAAUGACAGUUGAGUAGUCAGUCCAUUAUAUAUUUUUUUAAUAUUUAUUUUUUAGUUGUAGUCGGACACAGUACCUUUAUUUUAUUUAUUUAUUUUUAUGUGGUGGUGAGGAUUGAACCCUGGGCCUUGCAUGUGCUAGGUGAGCGCUCUACCACUGAGCCACUAUCCCAGGCCCCAUUAUAGGUUUUCUACAUUUUCUUGUUAUGAACAAGUGGUCACAGAUGAUAUUCAGAAGCAAGAUCUGGGGUGACCAUAAAGAACAAAUGCUUAGUGAACUCUCACAUGUGCUACAUAAC
This 1918-nucleotide long non-coding RNA is filed under the name Marmota monax (woodchuck). The record is from RNAcentral. Lineage: Eukaryota; Metazoa; Chordata; Mammalia; Rodentia; Sciuridae.